RNAcentral lists this transfer RNA (74 nucleotides) under Dracunculus medinensis (Guinea worm). It matches the Rfam family "tRNA". Rfam says of the family: Transfer RNA (tRNA) molecules are approximately 80 nucleotides in length. Their secondary structure includes four short double-helical elements and three loops (D, anti-codon, and T loops). The record is from Rfam by way of RNAcentral. Lineage: Eukaryota; Metazoa; Nematoda; Chromadorea; Rhabditida; Dracunculidae.
GCCGCCGUAGCUCAGCUGGUUAGAGCGUGGGUCUAAUAAGCCCAAGGUCGCAGGUUCGAUCCCUGCCGGCGGCA